AGCUGGUUGAUUUCGGGUCAAAUUGUCAUUAACUAUCAUUUGGUCCCCUUCAACCAGCUGU
RNAcentral lists this microRNA precursor (61 nucleotides) under Heliconius melpomene (postman butterfly). RNAcentral describes it as "Hme-Mir-133_pre stem-loop". It matches the Rfam family "mir-133 microRNA precursor family", at positions 14 to 73 of the family's 74-position model. Rfam says of the family: mir-133 was first experimentally characterised in mouse and homologues have since been discovered in several other species. The mature sequence is excised from the 3' arm of the hairpin. The record is from RNAcentral. Lineage: Eukaryota; Metazoa; Arthropoda; Insecta; Lepidoptera; Nymphalidae.